This 253-nucleotide ribosomal RNA is filed under the name uncultured bacterium. RNAcentral describes it as "partial 16S ribosomal RNA". It matches the Rfam family "Bacterial small subunit ribosomal RNA", at positions 524 to 776 of the family's 1533-position model. The record is from RNAcentral.
UACAGGGGGUGCAAGCGUUGUUCGAAAUUACUGGGCGUAAAGAGCGUGUAGGCUGUUUAUUAAGUCGCCUGUGAAAGCCCUUGGCUCAACCAAGGAAGUGCAGGCGAUACUGUUAAGCUAGAGUCUCGGAGAGGAUGGUGGAAUUCUCGGUGUAGAAGUGAAAUUCGGAGAUAUCGAGAGGAACACCAGUGGCGAAGGCGACCAUCUGGAAGACGACUGACGCUGAGACGCGAAAGCGUGGGGAGCAAACAGG